UGCCAGUUAACAUGAACUUGAUGUGAGACAGCAGCUAACACAUGUCUUUCUUCUUGCGUUGGGCUAACACCACACCCCACUUCCUUCGGAGGGUGUGUGACACUUUACAAAGAAAAUACAGUAUUGAGUAGUAUCACCACAGCAAGCGGAAAUGGCAGUACUCAGUCCUCAGACAAGUCACCAGUUUUGUACCCGGAAUUCACAUGGACUCGUUUAACUGCUAGCAAGAGCAGGUGAUGGUGGUCUGGGUCACUGCCAUCAAAUGAAGGAUGCUGCAGUACAGGCAGUGUGGCCCAGGGACACUCAAUGAACAGCCUUUACCACGGCCUGUUCCAGACCUCCUGCAGUGGUACCAAUCAUCAUCCCAAACCUGCAACCAUCUUGGAUUCCAGAGGAACCACCUGUGACUCGCUCACCUGCUAAGUAGGAGCGAUCAUCUCAUGGGAAUCAGACUCAUCCGUCAAGCAGUGAGGACUCCUCUGGAGCCACCUCAGAAAUCAGCUAGAAAUCAGAUGGGGACACAAUCUCAGACAGACCAGGUGAUUUAUCCAACACUGCAUAACUAGCCACAGCCGAAUGGGAAACAGAACUCAAGAGCCACAGCUAGCCAAGAGUAUGCUGUGGCCAAGUCUCCUUCCUCGGCCCCUCUGAAAGCUCAUAGGGUUUUUUGUCUCCUGUAACCUAAGUGCAGUUCUAUUAAUAAUUAUUUUUAAUUACAUCUUAU
Long non-coding RNA from Cavia porcellus (domestic guinea pig), 724 nucleotides. RefSeq lists it as uncharacterized. The record is from RefSeq and is a predicted model, not a curated record. The transcript has 3 exons. NCBI's taxonomy places the organism in Eukaryota, Metazoa, Chordata, Mammalia, Rodentia, Caviidae.